GCAAGUCGAACGAGAAAGGGAUUGCUUGCAAUCCUGAGUAGAGUGGCGCACGGGUGAGUAACACGUAGAUAAUCUGCCUUCAAACCUGGGAUAACUAUUCGAAAGGAUAGCUAAUACCGGAUAAAGUCGAUUUACACAAGUAGAUUGAUGAAAGAUUGCCUCUUCUUGAAAGCAAUUGUUUGGGGAUGAGUCUGCGGACCAUUAGCUUGUUGGUGGGGUAAAGGCCUACCAAGGCAGCGAUGGUUAGCUGGUCUGAGAGGAUGAUCAGCCACACUGGAACUGGAACACGGUCCAGACUCCUACGGGAGGCAGCAGUGAGGAAUUUUGCGCAAUGGGGGCAACCCUGACGCAGCAACGCCGCGUGAGUGAAGAAGGCCCUUGGGUCGUAAAGCUCUGUCAACUGGGAAGAAAUUAGUUUUAUUUAAUAGAUAGAGCUAUUGACGGUACCAGUGGAGGAAGCGCCGGCUAACUCCGUGCCAGCAGCCGCGGUAACACAGGGGGCGCAAGCGUUAUUCGGAAUUAUUGGGCGUAAAGGGCGCGCAGGCGGUCUUGUCCGUCAGGUGUGAAAGCUCGGGGCUCAACCCCGGAAGUGCACUUGAAACAGCAAGACUUGAAUACAGGAGAGGAAAGCGGAAUUCCUGGUGUAGAGGUGAAAUUCGUAGAUAUCAGGAGGAACACCGAUGGCGAAGGCAGCUUUCUGGACCGAUAUUGACGCUGAGGCGCGAAGGCGUGGGUAGCGAACGGGAUUAGAUACCCCGGUAGUCCACGCAGUAAACGUUGUACACUCUGUGUGGCGGAUAUUAAAAUCUGCUGUGCCUAAGCUAACGCAUUAAGUGUACCGCCUGGGAAGUACGGUCGCAAGACUAAAACUCAAAGGAAUUGACGGGGGCCCGCACAAGCGGUGGAGCAUGUGGUUUAAUUCGACGCAACGCGAAGAACCUUACCUGGGUUUGACAUCCUGUGAAUAUUGUAUAAUCGCAAUAGUGCCUUCGGGAGCACAGAGACAGGUGCUGCAUGGCUGUCGUCAGC
RNAcentral lists this ribosomal RNA (1029 nucleotides) under uncultured Desulfobacter sp. RNAcentral's name for it is "bacterial SSU rRNA". It matches the Rfam family "Bacterial small subunit ribosomal RNA", at positions 57 to 1059 of the family's 1533-position model. Lineage: Bacteria; Pseudomonadati; Thermodesulfobacteriota; Desulfobacteria; Desulfobacterales; Desulfobacteraceae. The record is from RNAcentral.